GUUUUCCAUUUAAUUCCGUUCUCCAUUUGAUUCCGGCAUCACAGGCAUCACAGAAUCGCCACUUGUCAAGAGGCUG
This is a long non-coding RNA of Mustela erminea (ermine), 76 nucleotides long. RefSeq lists it as uncharacterized. The record is from RefSeq and is a predicted model, not a curated record. Lineage: Eukaryota; Metazoa; Chordata; Mammalia; Carnivora; Mustelidae. The transcript has 3 exons.